UGCGCAGGCGGCUUACUAAGUCAGUGGUGAAAUAUUGCGGCUUAACCGUAAAAUUGCCAUUGAUACUGGUAAGCUUGAAUUCAGUUGAGGUUGGCGGAAUGUGUAAUGUAGCGGUGAAAUGCUUAGAUAUUACACAGAACACCGAUUGCGAAGGCAGCUAGCUAAACUGACAUUGACGCUGAGGCACGAAAGCGUGGGGAGCGAACAGGAUUAGAUACCCUGGUAGUCC
This 229-nucleotide ribosomal RNA is filed under the name uncultured bacterium. RNAcentral describes it as "partial 16S ribosomal RNA". It matches the Rfam family "Bacterial small subunit ribosomal RNA", at positions 568 to 796 of the family's 1533-position model. The record is from RNAcentral.